CCUUUUUCUUCAUAGAUCUACACAUGUAGUGGAUGAUUUCCUGCAAAAUAACGACAUUAUCAUAACAUAGCAUAUUGAUAUGAUAAAUGUUUGAUGAUGCUAUAUUGAUUGUGAAAUUGAUGACAAUGUGAUAUUCAUGAUGAAAUGACGAUGAUGUAGAAUAGUGACGAUGAAUAUAUAUAUAUAUAUAUAUAUAUAUAUAUAUAUAUAUAAAGUGACGUUGAUGAUGAUGUGUGUUGUAUUGUAUGAAUAUAUGCAUUGUCGAGUUAUAUGUUCAUGCGUACAUGGCCAAUCCAGUGACAAUGAGAUCCCUCAUAAACAUACUUCUGAUAUCCAAAGUGACAAUGGGAUCACUAGGUAACAUAACUCUGAUAUCCAAAAUGGUACCACAUGCGUAUAGAGUCGUGUCUAGAACAUAGCAUGUGUAACACCCCGUUUUCCCAACUUGAAAAAUUAAUACAUAAUAAUCAGAGUAAUCAACUUAAACAGGAUGUCACACUACUUUAAAAGAUAAAUAGAGUAGAAUUACUAUUUAUUUAAGGCUUAAUUGCACUUUUGGACCCCUAUCUUUCCAAAAGUUGCGGUUAUAGACCCCUAACUAAUUUAAAUACAUAACAGCCCCCUAUGUUUUGAUUCUUUGGCAGUUUUGGCCCCCCAAGGCAAAAUAAAAAUAAAAAAUUUGACACAUGGCACCUCACUUAGGGUGCCACGUUAGCGUUGACCGAGUCAACACUGGACUGGGGGUUCAAAACUGCCAAAGAAUCAAAACAUAGGGGGCUGUUUUGUAUUUAAAUUAGUUAGGGGUCCAUAACCGCAACUUUUGGAAAGAUAGAGGUCCAAAAGUGCAAUUAAGCCUUUAUUUAAACAUCUUUCAUCAAUAAUUCAAAUUACAUCGCAGCGGAAAAACAUUUCAUUAUUCAACAAAAUGGCACUACGGCAUCAACAUAAACAACUUAUUAAAAUUUCAUUCUAGGUAGUUCAUCAACAUAAUUCAUAAUAAUACGUAACAAAUGAAAAACAACACAAAUAUCUCCAUUCCGUUACGUAUCAGAGAGACCCUAAGACGACGCGUGAGAGAGUCAACUCACUUCAACAACUAAUCCUGGUUAUCUGCACGUUACCCACGUAGACACAACGCGUUAGACCAAAUCCAAUGGAAAGCUAACAAAAUUAUCUAAAACUUUCAUGUUUACACCAAAGGCCAAUUCAAAACCGAAACGUGUGAAAAAGACGCAAGAACAUAAAACAGGGUAUGCUAUCACUGUGCAAUUUCGCUAAUGGCGAAAAGUUAGCUAGUAGCGAAAUUGUUACAGAGGAUUUCGCCAAUAGCGAACUUCUAGCGAGUUUUUCCCCUGCUGUUACGAUUUCUGCACAUUUUUCACCCAAAAAACCCAAAUUUCAUCUACCCAAAUCCCAAAUUUGAUAGGAAACUUAACCUAUGAUUAUUCUACAAUCUGAAUAACAAUUCUCACCAUGAUUCAUUGGAUUACAUACACUUUCAAAAAUCAAAUUGAAAUUCAAAACCUAAUUUCAUUAACAUCAUAAUUUCAAUAAUCAAUUUUAACCCGAAUUUCUAUAACAACAAAACUAACAAGGCUAAACUGCAUUUUUCACCCCCUAUGUUUCAAAAUAUUGCAAUUUUGGUCCCCUAUUAAAAAAAUAGCAAUUUUGGCCCCUUUCAUCCAAAAAUUGUUGAGAAGACGCCACAUGUCCCAAAAAAGGGGCCAUAAUCACAACUUUUUGUAAAGAUAAGGGGUCAAAAAACAUAUUUCCCUUAUGUUAGGAGGUCAAAAGAGCGUAUUUCCCUAAACAUAGGGGGUCACUUUUGCCAUUUUUUUUAAUAGGGGGUCAAAAUUGCAACAUUUUAAAACUUAGAGGGUGAAAAGUGAAGUUUAGCCAACUAACAAAACAACAUGUUAAACCCCUAUUCCAGAAUUAUAAACCUAAUUCCUAUAACAUCAAAACUAACAACAACUACAAGGUUAAACCCUUUUCAGAAUUAUACAACUCAUUAUUAGAGAAAGCUAGUCCCACCCUUACCUUAGAUUAGAUGAUCGGACUCUACAAGAUUGUUCCUCCUAUCUCACAAGAUUCUUCUCUUCUCUGACUUCUCACUUUCUCCCUUUUUCUCCCAAAAACUGUUUUCACGUAAUCCUUAUUUUCUAAUUCUAACUCUCCCCUUGUAUAUAAGUCCUUAACCUACUUAUUUUCUCUUAUUUCCAAAUCUGUCAUCCAAGUCUCAAUAUUCUAUUCUAAUAUAUAUAUAAAAUAUUUCUAUAAAAAAUAACAAAUAUAUUUAUACACCAGAUAACAUAUAUAUUUCUACACCAAAUAACAAAUAUAUUCCUACACCACAUAACAUAUAUUUCCACACCAAAUAACAUAAUAUUUCCACACCAAAUAACAUAAUAUUUCUACACCAAAUAUCAUAAUAUAUUAUACUAAUAAAUACCAACAUAUAAUAUAACAAAAUAUUACUCAUCAAAAUAAAUCGACUAAAUUAUAAAAAGACAUCUAAACUCAAUAAAAUAAAUAAAUAAUAAAAUAGGGUUUACAACAUGCAUACAAGUCUAUGUGAGAGCCGUGAUUUGAUUAUGUGAAUAUAUGUGAAGAUGUGUGCCUAAUGAUGUGUGUUCAUGUGAUAUUUGGUGAUGGUGUCGAAGCAUGAAUUAUAUAUUUUUGAUUUAGCGAUGAAGUGAUAAUGCAAUUACUUUUUAUAUCAUGUGUUUAUGAUAUGAGAUUUAAUAUGUUUGUUGAUUGACUAAGUAUGAAUGUAAUGAUGAUAGUUUAGGAAAUGAAUAUGUAUAUCCAUAUGCGAUGUUUUAAAUUCCUAAAUACUAUGCUUUUAUUCAUAUCUUUUUAUGUGAAUGUUGAUCUUACCCUCUAGUGGCAAUUUGGUCGCUUGAUCGACGUGAGUACCGGAGGAGGACUUGAGGCCUAUCCUCCUUCUUUGCUUUUGUUUUUGGAGUCUUAGUGGUUGUACUAUGAUUAGGGUGUUUGGGAGACUAUUUAUCUUUACUUUUGGAUUUUUAUGUUUUAGAGGAGCUUAGAGUUAUCUGGAUGAUGUAGUAUGAGAUGUUGAGAUGAUAACUUUAUGUUGUGACUCCGCUGCGACUGUUUUAUGAUUAUAAUGAUUUAUGACUAUUUUGGAUUUAUGAUGAAGUAGCACCUUGAACCUUUGUGAUUAUCUGUUGAUUUAUUAUUAAAUAUCGUAUUGGGGUUUGAGAGAGUUACAUGAUUGACAUUUUUUUAUACUACAACUUAGACAGUGUAUACUUGCACUAAGUUUUUCCACCUUAAAAUAUUUAGUGUUUUGGGAGACACCACAAGUGCAGAAACAAACAAAGAAAUUCAAUGACAAAGAAAAUAUAACAAGUCAUUUUAUUAGAAGCAAAGUAAUUUCAAAUGACUACUCAACGACAUUAUCUAUUUGAGGCAAUUUGAUGUGCUAUAACUUCUUCAACAACCGCUCUCUUGUUCUCUCAUAUAUAAGGACCUUAGCAGUUGAAUAAAGACAACAAGACUUAUAUCAUUUUUCACAAGUCCCUUACUCUAUUUGCCAUGAUCUUCAUUUCUCUAUUUGUUGUUGCAUUGAAUGUUGACGGUAAGCCAUUUUGUAUCAUCAAUGCAAAAUACAUAUGAUAAGAAAGAGUUCAUAUGAUUGGUCAUUUUUUUAUAUUACCUUUUUACAAAGUUUA
This 3698-nucleotide long non-coding RNA is filed under the name Medicago truncatula (barrel medic). RNAcentral describes it as "long non-coding RNA (MTRU_LNC005087)". The stretch from base 613 to 783 matches the Rfam family "MIR2619 microRNA precursor family". The record is from RNAcentral. Lineage: Eukaryota; Viridiplantae; Streptophyta; Magnoliopsida; Fabales; Fabaceae.